GAUGAAGAACGCAGCGAAAUGCGAUAAGUAAUGUGAAUUGCAGAAUUCCGUGAAUCAUCGAAUCUUUGAACGCACAUUGCGCCCGCCAGUAUUCUGGCGGGCAUGCCUGUUCGAGCGUCAUUACAACCCUCAGGCCCCCGGGCCUGGCGUUGGGGAUCGGCGGAGCCCCCCGUGGGCACACGCCGUCCCCCAAAUACAGUGGCGGUCCCGCCGCAGCUUCCAUCGCGUAGUAGCUAACACCUCGCGACUGGAGAGCGGCGCGGCCACGCCGUAAAACACCCAACUCUUCUGAAGUUGACCUCGAAUCAGGUAGGAAUACCCGCUGAACUUAAGCAUAUCAAUAAGCGGAGGA
This 352-nucleotide unclassified non-coding RNA is filed under the name soil metagenome. Its description in RNAcentral is "partial contains 5.8S ribosomal RNA, internal transcribed spacer 2, and large subunit ribosomal RNA". The stretch from base 1 to 120 matches the Rfam family "5.8S ribosomal RNA", at positions 35 to 154 of the family's 154-position model. The record is from RNAcentral.